GUGUCAGCAGCCGCGGUAAUACGGAGGGUGCAAACGUUGCUCGGAAUCAUUGGGCGUAAAGCGCACGUAGGCGGCGCGUUAAGUUGGAUGUGAAAGCCCUCGGCUUAACCGAGGAAGUGCAUACAAAACUGGCGCGCUUGAGUACAAAAGAGGAUCGCGGAAUUCCCGGUGUAGAGGUGAAAUUCGUAGAUAUCGGGAGGAACACCAGCGGCGAAGGCGGCGAUCUGGGUUGAUACUGACGCUGAGGUGCGAAAGCGUGGGGAGCAAACAGGAUUAGAAACCCUGGUAGUCC
This 292-nucleotide ribosomal RNA is filed under the name uncultured bacterium. RNAcentral describes it as "partial 16S ribosomal RNA". It matches the Rfam family "Bacterial small subunit ribosomal RNA", at positions 505 to 796 of the family's 1533-position model. The record is from RNAcentral.